GACGAACGCUGGCGGCGUGCUUAACACAUGCAAGUCGAACGAUGAAGCGGGUGCUUGCACUCGUGGAUUAGUGGCGAACGGGCGAGUAACGCGUGAGUAACCUGUCCUUUUCUUUGGGAUAACGGCUGGAAACGGCUGCUAAUACUGGAUAUUCAGGCUGCAUCGCAUGGUGUGGUUUGGAAAGGUUUUUUCUGGGAUUGGGUGGGCUCGCGGCCUAUCAGCUUGUUGGUGGGGUGAUGGCUUACCAAGGCUUUGACGGGUAGCCGGCCUGAGAGGGUGGUCGGUCGCACUGGGACUGAGAUACGGCCCAGACUCCUACGGGAGGCAGCAGUGGGGAAUAUUGCACAAUGGACGAAAGUUUGAUGCAGCGACGCCGCGUGGAGGGUGUAGGCCUUCGGGUUGUGAACUCCUUUUCCUCGCGAAAAAGGCACAGUUUUGGCUGUGUUGAUGGUAGUGGGGGAAGAAGCGCCGGCUAACUACGUG
RNAcentral lists this ribosomal RNA (483 nucleotides) under uncultured bacterium. RNAcentral's name for it is "partial 16S ribosomal RNA". It matches the Rfam family "Bacterial small subunit ribosomal RNA", at positions 28 to 507 of the family's 1533-position model. The record is from RNAcentral.